AAUGAGAGAAAGGAUGAAGCUGGGCUCCAAGUUUUCAGGUCUGAGUCUCCAAAUCAAAUACGAUAUCAUUGGUGAAACAUUCAGAACAGAACCAGGGCUGGAGAGGAGGCGGAAGUACGGCAUUUGAGAUAUACUGAUUGAAGAGACGCCUCUACUUGCACCGGGCAUUUAUGACUGACACCUAGAAUACGGUGUUGGUGUACACUUGGGGACAAGACAAGAACAUUAAAGAAGAGGUGCAAAAAGAAGAGCAGGGAGCCAAGGAUUGAAUUUCAGGGUUCAUCGACAUUUGAAUGAGCAGAGUCUGGUGAAACCAAGAAAAGAGAAGAAAGAGGAGCAGCCAGAAAAUUAAGAAGAGAAACAUGAUGCGAUCUAGGAAAUGUCAAUCUUAUCAGUCCUAGGAUUAGCGGAGACCAUUAGUUGCUUUCGACUGGUUUCAUGCACAGUAAAACAAAAGAAUCAGAGAAGGAGGAAAAGAAAGUGGAGGAAGAAGAGGAACAGCAGGCUUCAGCAUGGAUAGACUAAAAAUUGCAUAUGUGUGAGUCCAGAUUUCUGUUUUGCAAUUCUAUGACACGGGGAAAGCUAUUUAAUCUGAGUCAGGUCCUUUAUAUAUAACAUGGGCAUAAGACUACCUAACAUUAAGCUAUGUAGAUAAAAAUGAGAUGGUGACUGUAAGCCAUCUGGCACAUAAGUAAGUUUUCAAUAUAUUUUAAUCCCCUUUGUUCAACUCUACCCCUGCCCAAGGUCCUUCCAUAACCCUCAAAGCACAGUGAGGCAGGAC
Molecule: long non-coding RNA, 781 nt
Filed under: Equus caballus (horse)
Lineage: Eukaryota; Metazoa; Chordata; Mammalia; Perissodactyla; Equidae
Description: lncRNA (ENSECAG00000051603.1)
Source: RNAcentral